This 582-nucleotide long non-coding RNA is filed under the name Marmota monax (woodchuck). The record is from RNAcentral. Lineage: Eukaryota; Metazoa; Chordata; Mammalia; Rodentia; Sciuridae.
GAAAUGAAAAGCUGUGCUCCAUUUGUGUAAACAACAGCAAUAACAGCAACUAAAACAACAAAAACUGAUCCCCUGGCUGAGCUUGUAAAUAACAUCUAAGUUAUUGUGAUUGAAAAUGCUUGAAAAAAGUAUAUGAGUAUCAAGAAAAGAAAGAGAUGUCCCAGUGUUCCAGCAGAUUUCCAACAAAAAGGAAAUUAUGAUGUGAGUUUAGGAAUCUUGUACAUAUAUAAUGUUUGUAUUCAGAUUUUUUCACUCCCAUAACCUCUGAAAAAUGUAAAGAAAAGUUCCUUUUUGUUUUUGAGUGUUAGGAUUAUAGUGGAAAAGUGACUUUUUAAGCUCAGAUGAUUACAAUCCACUGAAUUUUGGGUGGGAUUCCCACUCAGGAAAUCUGAUUAGAGUUUUUGCUCUGAGCUAGACAGGGCAGAAGACUCCUGAAUGCAAAGAUGACUAUGGAUAGAGUUCUAUAAUGUGUUCUCAUACAACAGUGAUGAAAAUAUCCAUUUAAUCAUUUCUAUAUAGCACCGUUUAAAGAAAUGCUCAUUAGUGUUUAAUUUUGUUAUAUGGAAAUCCAGUGCACUUCCU